This 690-nucleotide ribosomal RNA is filed under the name uncultured fungus. Its description in RNAcentral is "SSU rRNA". It matches the Rfam family "Eukaryotic small subunit ribosomal RNA", at positions 853 to 1566 of the family's 1831-position model. The record is from RNAcentral. Lineage: Eukaryota; Fungi.
AGGACCGCCGUAAUGAUUAAUAGGGACAGUCGGGGGCAUCAGUAUUCAAUUGUCAGAGGUGAAAUUCUUGGAUUUAUUGAAGACUAACUACUGCGAAAGCAUUUGCCAAGGAUGUUUUCAUUAAUCAGGAACGAAAGUUAGGGGAUCGAAGACGAUCAGAUACCGUCGUAGUCUUAACCAUAAACUAUGCCGACUAGGGAUCGGACGAUGUUAUUUUUUGACGCGUUCGGCACCUUACGAGAAAUCAAAGUGCUUGGGCUCCAGGGGGAGUAUGGUCGCAAGGCUGAAACUUAAAGAAAUUGACGGAAGGGCACCACCAGGGGUGGAGCCUGCGGCUUAAUUUGACUCAACACGGGGAAACUCACCAGGUCCAGACACAAUGAGGAUUGACAGAUUGAGAGCUCUUUCUUGAUUUUGUGGGUGGUGGUGCAUGGCCGUUCUUAGUUGGUGGAGUGAUUUGUCUGCUUAAUUGCGAUAACGAACGAGACCUUAACCUGCUAAAUAGCCCGUAUUGCUUUGGCAGUACGCUGGCUUCUUAGAGGGACUAUCGGCUCAAGCCGAUGGAAGUUUGAGGCAAUAACAGGUCUGUGAUGCCCUUAGAUGUUCUGAGCCGCACGCGCGCUACACUGGACGGGAGCCAGCGGAGUACUUCCCUUGGCCGGAAGGCCCGGGGAAUCUGUUGAUGUGAUC